AUCCAGCUGACGAACCCUAAAUCGGACGAAACGCACGUCCUGUAU
Molecule: non-coding RNA, 45 nt
Filed under: Schistosoma mattheei
Lineage: Eukaryota; Metazoa; Platyhelminthes; Trematoda; Strigeidida; Schistosomatidae
Source: RNAcentral